Molecule: non-coding RNA, 110 nt
Submitted as: unclassified sequences
Source: Rfam
UUUUUGGGAUAUCGGGCACCGGGCCUCCUCCUCCGACUGAAACUCCUUCACAGUCUGUGCUCCGUGUGCCGCACAGGCGAUGUCCCGCUUCGUGUGCAAAAAAGCUCGUC